CAGUAGCCGCGGUAAUACGUAGGGUGCAAGCGUUAAUCGGAAUUACUGGGCGUAAAGCGUGCGCAGGCGGUGUUGUAAGACAGAUGUGAAAUCCCCGGGCUCAACCUGGGAACUGCAUUUGUGACUGUAUAGCUAGAGUACGGCAGAGGGGGAUGGAAUUCCGCGUGUAGCAGUGAAAUGCGUAGAUAUGCGGAGGAACACCGAUGGCGAAGGCAAUCCCCUGGGCCUGUACUGACGCUCAUGCACGAAAGCGUGGGGAGCAAACAGGAUUAGAUACCCCAGUAGUCCCUGUCUCUUAUAC
This 301-nucleotide ribosomal RNA is filed under the name uncultured bacterium. RNAcentral's name for it is "partial 16S ribosomal RNA". It matches the Rfam family "Bacterial small subunit ribosomal RNA", at positions 509 to 807 of the family's 1533-position model. The record is from RNAcentral.